AUUCUACUACAAUAACAGCCGGUGUCUUCUACAUGGGCCAGACAGGGUGGUCUGGCUGAGAGGCUCGUGACUGGUCCCCAGCUGGAGAAGCUUCGUGACGGACCACCGCUGUGGCAUAAAUACUUGGUCAGGUUCUCUCUCCACCCUCUGAUGGACAGUCUCCACCUUCCACCACCAUUUGCCAAAUACUCCGACUGUUCACAGCCUGAAACAUAUGAACUGAAGGCCUGGGACCGUUGAGACAAUGUUCCUCACCAAGGAUAUUUGCUGAAAUCACAAAGAGAACCAAGUGGAAGUUGUGUUGAUCUUCUUGUAAAUAUAUUGUUUAAAUUCAAAAGCAUUACUUAUGACAUUUAUAUUAGCCAAAAAUUCGAAAGCAUAGAUUUUAGGCCAGUUAUCAAUCAACUAAUUUUCAGUUUAAUUUUGUUAAUUUUUUUGUGUGCUUUUGUCUAAUGACUCAUCCUUUUAUGGGUGUUUCCCGGCAGUUUGUGAUUUGCUAAUAUUUUGUAUCGGGGAUGGUGGCUUCAUGUUCAAUCUCCGUUCUACCACACCUAAUCCUACUAAUCAGCUUAUUAGUAGAAACAUGUAUGGUAGAACUGGGCUUGAGCAAAGCCUUGCACAACCUGUGGGUCCUUAAGAGCAGACACCAGCCCUGAUUAUUAAGUACUAUUUCCAAAGUCUGAUUAUUGUAGGUUCGGCUAUUAAAUAAUUGUUUUUGUUGUAAUAAGUCACUAUUUUGACAUGUUU
Molecule: long non-coding RNA, 747 nt
Organism: Oncorhynchus masou masou (cherry salmon)
Lineage: Eukaryota; Metazoa; Chordata; Actinopteri; Salmoniformes; Salmonidae
Exons: 3
Source: RefSeq, a predicted model, not a curated record